UACGGAGGGAGCUAGCGUUGUUCGGAAUUACUGGGCGUAAAGCGCGCGUAGGCGGCUUUGUAAGUUAGAGGUGAAAGCCCGGGGCUCAACCCCGGAAUUGCCUUUAAGACUGCAUCGCUUGAAUCCGGGAGAGGUGAGUGGAAUUCCUAGUGUAGAGGUGAAAUUCGUAGAUAUUGGGAAGAACACCGGUGGCGAAGGCGGCGACCUGGUCCGAUACUGACGCUGAGGCACGAAAGCGUGGGGAGCAAACAGG
This 253-nucleotide ribosomal RNA is filed under the name uncultured bacterium. RNAcentral's name for it is "partial 16S ribosomal RNA". It matches the Rfam family "Bacterial small subunit ribosomal RNA", at positions 524 to 776 of the family's 1533-position model. The record is from RNAcentral.